ACAACACAAAAAAAUUACGGCCUUAUGAUCAGACCCACAAAUUUGAAUCUAACCGUUCAGAUGAUCACUAAUCCACGUCAAAAGUACGUUUAGCAGUUUGAUGGAGCGGACGAAAACUCUGUCACCCGCCUCCGCACUUAUCCCGCAACAAUCACAAUCGAUUCCAGAAAAAGACCUACAAUUGCAACCCCAAUAUCCUCCCGGGAGCUCUCCCCGUCGACCGCACAACGCCCUCAUCGGCACGCUCUUCGCCGGAGCGGCCCAGAGCGGCGUGCGCUGGAAGCUGGAUCCGGGAAGGAGUGCGGCCACAAGCGGGAGACAAGGGGAGGCGCGGUUGUGCUCUCUCUGGUCGCCGGCGCGGCCACCAGAGGGGAGACGGCCAGGGGAAGCGGCGGCCUACGACUCUGUAGGGGAUGCAGCGUCUGGCGGGAGGGCGCGCGCAGUAGGGAAGGCAGCGGUCGGAUCCAGGCGCGGGUGAGGCCUGAAUGCCACACGGGGCCCAUGGCGGCCAGAUCCGGGCCACGCAUGGGAGUCGGUGGUGUCCCGCCGAUGCGUAAAGGAAGCACGGGGCGGCGCGUCAGUAUGUCGUCGUGCACAGCACCGUGCGGGGUGAGCGAUGGGAUGCAAACGACAUUGUAGGCACCGAUGCCGCACAUGCUUGAUUUGCUGCUGCCGCCGCCUCCGCUUGAGGUCUACGGACGCUGUCGACGAGUUAUGAGGCGGAACCAUCGAGCACCGAGCUGGAAACGACACCAUCGAGGAUGACAGACCGCCACCGAGGCUGAUUGUUGUGGACGCGCCUGCCCACUACAAGUCUCCUAUCGCUGUUGUGUUCCGAGCAGCCAGAGAACUACAGGUGCACGACUCCUGCAACCUGGUAUUUGAGAUGCAUUUCCCAAUCGUCCUGAUUAUGGACUUCUGCUCACGUUUGGAGCGAUCUGAAUUAAAACAAGAAUUCUGUGGAGUCUGCUUGAAUCAAUUGUUCAUCUCUACAUUAACGAAUAGUGAGAUUACCAGAGCAUCCUGGGCCUCCGACUUCUUGAUAUGAUCACUGGAUUGUUCUUUAAUAUUUAACAACCAAGACUGUUCUUUCCUGCAAAAAAUAUAUUUUCUGUCAUGAACUACUAAUGUCACUAUGAUGUCUCAAAGAGCUUUCUUAUAAGUUUGUGGUUAUGCACAUAUACAUGAUCUGGUAAAGGGGGAGACAAUGCAAGUGGCAGAGAUAGAAAGGUAGAGGUGGAAGAAGAGGGUGUGGUAGAGGAAGAGAAAGUCAUGCCAAACAGAAGUGGCAGGGGUUGAGGAAGGUCAGGUACAAGCUGAAGAUUAGGAGGAAGAUUUACAACCCAGUGUUGAAGGAUGUGUCACAUUUUGUUUGGCCGUAGCUACAAUCCAAAAGGGAGAAAUGCAGAAGAAUUUGUUCAUACUUGAAACAUGUGUGAUCGAGGAGAGAGCAACACCCAGCAGUCUGCACUACACACUUGACAUAUGUACAAAGGAUUUAUGUGGGCACAUGACAUACCCGUACAUAUUGUGAAAGUUUACAAGAGAAGCAUGUUGUUCUAAAUGAAUAGUCGCAAAUACGGACCUGGCCAUGGAAAGAUGAACACUAAUUGGCCACAAAUGAGCUACAUUGUUCAGGUUAUGAGUAGUUCUACCUUUAUUAGGCUUGCACAUCUGGUUUGUCCGUCAGUUAGUUCUCUGACUGGUUUUCAUGGUGCACAAACUUGUACUUACAACUUAGAUGAAUUAUGUCAUUUGACCGGCUUAUGUGGAUUCCACUUAUUUCUAUGCACACUUGCAUAUCAAAUUUAUUUUAUUUCCGGUGCCUAUUGUAAUGUCCGUUUCAUAGGAACCAAAUAGAAGGAAAUAGGAUUGGUAUUUUUCUGAUUGGAAAUAGUAUACCUUAUAUUUAGUUAAUUUUGGAUACAAUUAUGAAAAAUCUUAGAUAGAUCGUGCUAUGAAAUUGUUUCUGUGAUACAGUAUGAACAGUGAUGUGUGGCAGACAAACAUCUAUGGUACAGUGGUUGCCGGCGCUAGCUAAGGGGUGUGGCCAUGGUGCAUCAAUUUCUAUAAAAGGUCUAUAUGAUGAUAGAAUUAGGAACCAUAUGCUCUUCGUAUGAGUUAUCAAAUUUUUUAGAAGGUUUAUAUGAUGAUAGAAUUUUUAUAUUUCAUAAUAAAAUGUAUUUUAGUUGAAACGUGCGUUGCACGUGCAUACUUACUAGUGUUCUAAAAAAAAAGAAAGAGGAGGUGGUCAGGCUCCAUCGGGCGGUAUAACUUGCUCCACCUGUGCACCCACAACCGCGCCGAGCUGGGCGGCAGGCUGGCGACGGCGGUCGGGCUGGGGGGCUGGUGGAGCACGGUGCAUUACGCCGGCACCAUCGACAUCUCGGCAACAGAUCUCAGGGAGCUGCUGCUGAAGACGCUGCCAAGAAUAGACGCCAGGAACUCGAGGGGCACCCGCGCACUGGAAAGCAGGGGACUGGACAAGGACCAUGCCGGAUGGUGCCACUGGAGCGCCACCAUUGACUUGGACCAGAGCAUCCUUGUUUGGCACAUGGCGACCGACAUCUACCUCCAUAAGUCCAAGGCUCUUACAACAUGUUUACCCCAAACUCGGGGACCACGCUUGCCGAGGCGGUGAAGGUGAUAUCCAAUUACAUGGUGUUCCUGCUUGUCACCAAACCCGCUAUGCUGCCGGGCCUUGUUCCCGUGGCAUGUAUGUCCAGGCCUGCAAGGAGCUGUCCCUUGCGUGGUACAUCUUCUUGGCUGAUCAAAGCAGUCCAGAGAUCGCAUCGCCGAAGAAAUGGCGGCACAAGCUCAAGGGGUUGCUCCACCACGAUGGCCCCAAUGGCUCCAGGAUCCUAGAGAGAGGGCAGCUUGCUGGGUCUAUGCACAGCACUUACCUAAGCGAUUACGGGGGAGAGUGGAGGUACUCACCAACUGGAAGCGAAAGCCCGGGUACAUGUGCUUAUCGACGCGCUGAUGAACACGCGUGCGAACUUGCAGCGGAGCUUCUCGGCAUGGAGUCAAGCAUGCUUGGCUUGAUGGAAGUGAUCUUUGAAGUGUGGGUAGAGAUGUUGUGCUAUGCUGCCCUACACUCCAGCCUGGAUUCACAUGCUAGGCAGCUGAGUAGCGGCGGUGAGUUCAUUACUGUCGUGUGGCUUUUGAUACAUCAUCUAGGGAAACCGGAGUAACACAACGAUGCGAUGUUGCUGUAAUUAUUGUUUUGAAUUAUUAUGAAGGUUACACACAGUCGCAAAUGUUUGGAACCCGAAAUCUUAACAACGGUACAACACUUUGCAA
Molecule: long non-coding RNA, 3303 nt
Organism: Aegilops tauschii subsp. strangulata
Lineage: Eukaryota; Viridiplantae; Streptophyta; Magnoliopsida; Poales; Poaceae
Source: RefSeq, a predicted model, not a curated record